Molecule: ribosomal RNA, 414 nt
Filed under: uncultured bacterium
Lineage: Bacteria
Description: bacterial SSU rRNA
Rfam family: Bacterial small subunit ribosomal RNA
Source: RNAcentral
GUGCCAGCCGCCGCGGUAAGACGUAGGGGGCUAGCGUUGUCCGGAAUCACUGGGCGUAAAGAGCUCGUAGGCGGCCUGUUAAGUCGGGUGUGAAAUCCCUCGGCUCAACCGAGAAAUUGCACUCGGUACUGGCAGGCUAGAGUCAAGCAGAGGGAAGUGGAAUUCCCGGUGUAGCGGUGAAAUGCGCAGAUAUCGGGAAGAACACCGGUGGCGAAGGCGGCUUCCUGGGCUUGCACUGACGCUGAGGAGCGAAAGCUAGGGGAGCGAACAGGAUUAGAUACCCUGGUAGUCCUAGCCGUAAACGAUGGGCACUAGGUGUGGGGGGUUACCAAAUCCUUCCGUGCCGAAGCUAACGCAUUAAGUGCCCCGCCUGGGGAGUACGGCCGCAAGGCUAAAACUCAAAUAAAUUGACGG